Molecule: long non-coding RNA, 762 nt
Organism: Pieris rapae (cabbage white)
Lineage: Eukaryota; Metazoa; Arthropoda; Insecta; Lepidoptera; Pieridae
Exons: 2
Source: RefSeq, a predicted model, not a curated record
CAAAAAUAAAAGAAUUAAAAUAAAUAAAAUAUAGUUUAAAAUUAUCGUAAACGUGGUACAAUUAAAGCGCGAUUAACACUAUUUAAAGAUUUUCUCUUGGUUAUUGAACAAAUUGAAACCGAUAGCAUCCCGACUGGUGAGGUCACAAGGUUUAGUUUCGCUUAGCAGAGUCGCCGAACAUUCCAGGUUGGGCGUGCUCAUUUUCCGCUCCGCUCGUCGCUACGCUCGUCGCUCCGCGCCACUCGGUACGACCCUUACCCGCGGCCAGGACGCUGUGGAUUUUGCAGGAUUUUGGUUGGGCGUGCUCAUUGUCCGCUGCGCUCGUCGCUCCGCUCGUCGCUCCGCUCGUCGCUCCGCGCCACUCGGUACGACCCUUACCCGCGGCCAGGACGCUGUGGAUUUUGCAGGAUUUUGGUUUGAUUGCACAACAUCUUUAUAUUUUUAUCAUUUACAAAUCGAUCAUGGCUCAGAGUAAAGUAUCGGACCGGGACGAACUGGCUUUGUUAGUUGGUAAAUGUGGUACAAUUAAAGCGCGAUUAACACUAUUUAAAGAUUUUCUCUUGGUUAUUGAACAAAUUGAAACCGAUAGCAUCCCGACUGGUGAGGUCACAAGGUUUAGUUUCGCUUAGCAGAGUCGCCGAACAUUCCAGGUUGGGCGUGCUCAUUGUCCGCUGCGCUCGUCGCUCCGCUCGUCGCUCCGCGCCACUCGGUACGACCCUUACCCGCGGCCAGGACGCUGUGGAUUUUGCAGGAUUUUGGUUU